UGGUAGUCCACGCCGUAAACGAUGUCGACUUGGAGGCUGUUCCCUUGAGGAGUGGCUUCCGGAGCUAACGCGUUAAGUCGACCGCCUGGGGAGUACGGCCGCAAGGUUAAAACUCAAAUGAAUUGACGGGGGCCCGCACAAGCGGUGGAGCAUGUGGUUUAAUUCGAUGCAACGCGAAGAACCUUACCUACUCUUGACAUCCACGGAACUUAGCAGAGAUGCUUUGGUGCCUUCGGGAACCGUGAGACAGGUGCUGCAUGGCUGUCGUCAGCUCGUGUUGUGAAAUGUUGGGUUAAGUCCCGCAACGAGCGCAACCCUUAUCCUUUGUUGCCAGCGGUCCGGCCGGGAACUCAAAGGAGACUGCCAGUGAUAAACUGGAGGAAGGUGGGGAUGACGUCAAGUCAUCAUGGCCCUUACGAGUAGGGCUACACACGUGCUACAAUGGCGCAUACAAAGAGAAGCGACCUCGCGAGAGCAAGCGGACCUCAUAAAGUGCGUCGUAGUCCGGAUUGGAGUCUGCAACUCGACUCCAUGAAGUCGGAAUCGCUAGUAAUCGUAGAUCAGAAUGCUACGGUGAAUACGUUCCCGGGCCUUGUACACACCGCCCGUCACACCAUGGGAGUGGGUUGCAAAAGAAGUAGGUAGCUUAACCUUCGGGAGGGCGCUACCA
RNAcentral lists this ribosomal RNA (670 nucleotides) under Pantoea agglomerans. RNAcentral's name for it is "bacterial SSU rRNA". It matches the Rfam family "Bacterial small subunit ribosomal RNA", at positions 788 to 1458 of the family's 1533-position model. The record is from RNAcentral. Lineage: Bacteria; Pseudomonadati; Pseudomonadota; Gammaproteobacteria; Enterobacterales; Erwiniaceae.